Molecule: long non-coding RNA, 1356 nt
Filed under: Durio zibethinus
Lineage: Eukaryota; Viridiplantae; Streptophyta; Magnoliopsida; Malvales; Malvaceae
Description: long non-coding RNA (DZIB_LNC001694)
Source: RNAcentral
GGAAAAACGUGAAAUAGAGAAGAGAAAACAAAACAAAAAUUUGUAAGAAGAAAAGAGGAAAUUUUUUUUUUUAUUGCUUGCUUGCUUGAAGGUGGACUUUCUUAACAUCCAUCUUCACAUUUUAGCAUCUUCAUCACAAUUUUCAUUGCAUUUUCAUUAUGCUUCCUUUAUUUUCUUAUUAAUUUUCUUGAAGGUUUUUAGUCAAUUUUUUUAUUUGAAGUUUGAAUCAAUUUUUAUCCAACUAAUCAAUAGUUGGAUUGAAGUUGAAAUCCAAACAAAAACAACAUAAAUCCACCACUGAAAAAUUGAGUUUAGGGGUCGACCAUGGUGUCCCUUUUGUUGGCCGAACCUUUUAUUAGCUUCUUUAAUAUUUUUUUGCUUUUGAAUAUUGCUUAUGAUGGUUAAAUGACUAGUUUGCUUGUAUUUUGUAUAAACUUUGCUUGAUUAAUGAUAUAUGAUGGUGUUUGGUUUAUGUUUCAAGUGUUCAUAAUCUUUUUGUUAUUUUUAGUUUGUUUUAUGUUUGAUGAAAGUUUCCUUGUGAUAUGAAUCUUUUUGCAUGAUGAUUAGGAAGGUAAAUGAGGUAAGCUUGGCUUGAAUGAAAUGAAAAUGCUAUGAUGGGUUGAUAGUGAAGGUUCAACCAUGGUGGUCUUUGGUUGGCCAAGCCAUACUCUUUGUUUUAUGAAUAUUUGGUGCUUUGAUUCUUUUAUUAGAUUAUGUUUUUAUGGUGAUUUGUAAGUUUCUAAUGUAUUUGAACAAAAUUUUCAGUGAAAAAAUGUUUAUUUUGAUGAUUGUUUUGGUUGAUUUUUUUUAGUUGUUUGGUUGGUUUUAAUGAUGAACAAGUGCUGGAACAUUCAAACCAAAUUCAAAGUUUUUUCAUGUUUAAUCUUUUUUUUUUUUUGAAUUCUCAUGCAUAACAUGUUUAUAAUUUAAGUUUAAAAAUACCUUUAUUUGUAAUUAUUUUCAAGGUCAUACAUUUGGUAAAUGCAUUCAUUAAUGUCAUUUUUGUAAUUUGCAUUUAUUCCAUUUUCAUUUUCAUAAAACCCAAAAAAUGAAAACCUUAAAUUUAAAACCCUAAACCCAAGCCAUAAAACCAAACCCUAAACUCUAAACCAAACCCUAAACCCUAAACCAAAACCCUAAAUUGAAACCCUAAAUUCAAACUCUAAAACCAAACACUAAUCCCAAACCCUAAACCAAAACCUAAACUUUAGCCCCAAACCCAAACCCUAAAACUAAGCGCUAAUCCUAAACCCUAAAACCCUAAACCUUUACCUAGACUUUAAACCUUAAACCCUAAGUUUCAAACCUAAACCCUAAACCUGUCCCCAAACCAACUUAAACCCUAAAACCAAUCAU